RNAcentral lists this ribosomal RNA (451 nucleotides) under uncultured bacterium. RNAcentral's name for it is "partial 16S ribosomal RNA". It matches the Rfam family "Bacterial small subunit ribosomal RNA", at positions 354 to 796 of the family's 1533-position model. The record is from RNAcentral.
GUGGGGAAUAUUGCGCAAUGGGGGAAACCCUGACGCAGCAACGCCGCGUGAGUGAGGAAGGACUUCGGUCUGUAAAGCUCUGUUAAUGUGGAAAAAUGGUAGUUGGUCUAAUAGGCCGAUUAUUUGAUGGUACACAUAGAGGAAGCACCGGCUAACUUCGUGCCAGCAGCCGCGGUAAUACGAAGGGUGCAAGCGUUGUUCGGAUUUAUUGGGCGUAAAGCGCGCGUAGGCGGACCUGCAAGUCAGAUGUGAAAUCUCGGGGCUCAACCUCGAAACUGCGUCUGAAACUACAGGUCUAGAAUCUCGGAGGGGGAAGGGGAAUAUCGCAUGUAGGGGUAAAAUCCGUAGAUAUGCGAUGGAACACCAGAGGCGAAGGCGCCUUCCUGGACGAGUAUUGACGCUGAGGCGCGAAAGCGUGGGGAUCAAACAGGAUUAGAAACCCGUGUAGUCC